CCUACGGGUGGCAGCAGUGAGGAAUAUUGGUCAAUGGACGCGAGUCUGAACCAGCCAAGUAGCGUGAAGGAUGACUGCCCUAUGGGUUGUAAACUUCUUUUAUAUGGGAAUAAAAUGCUUCACGUGUGGGUUUUUGUAUGUACCAUAUGAAUAAGGAUCGGCUAACUCCGUGCCAGCAGCCGCGGUAAUACGGAGGAUCCGAGCGUUAUCCGGAUUUAUUGGGUUUAAAGGGAGCGUAGGUGGAUUGUUAAGUCAGUUGUGAAAGUUUGCGGCUCAACCGUAAAAUUGCAGUUGACACUGGCAGUCUUGAGUACAGUAGAGGUGGGCGGAAUUCGUGGUGUAGCGGUGAAAUGCUUAGAUAUCACGAAGAACUCCGAUUGCGAAGGCAGCUCACUGAACUGCCACUGACACUGAGGCUCGAAAGUGUGGGUAUCAAACAGGAUUAGAUACCCUUGUAGUC
Molecule: ribosomal RNA, 460 nt
Filed under: uncultured bacterium
Lineage: Bacteria
Description: partial 16S ribosomal RNA
Rfam family: Bacterial small subunit ribosomal RNA
Source: RNAcentral